This 305-nucleotide ribosomal RNA is filed under the name uncultured bacterium. Its description in RNAcentral is "partial 16S ribosomal RNA". It matches the Rfam family "Bacterial small subunit ribosomal RNA", at positions 508 to 809 of the family's 1533-position model. The record is from RNAcentral.
ACAGCAGCCGCCGCGGUAAUACGGAGGAUCCAAGCGUUAUCCGGAAUAAUUGGGUUUAAAGGGUCCGUAGGCGGUCUUGUAAGUCAGUGGUGAAAGCCCAUCGCUCAACGGUGGAACGGCCAUUGAUACUGCAGGACUUGAAUUAUUGGGAAGUAACUAGAAUAUGUAGUGUAGCGGUGAAAUGCUUAGAGAUUACAUGGAAUACCAAUUGCGAAGGCAGGUUACUACCAAUUGAUUGACGCUGAGGUACGAAAGCAUGGGGAGCAAACAGGAUUAGAUACCCCGGUAGUCCCUGUCUCUUAUAU